RNAcentral lists this ribosomal RNA (447 nucleotides) under uncultured bacterium. Its description in RNAcentral is "partial 16S ribosomal RNA". It matches the Rfam family "Bacterial small subunit ribosomal RNA", at positions 30 to 523 of the family's 1533-position model. The record is from RNAcentral.
AUUGAACGCUGGCGGAAUGCUUUACACAUGCAAGUCGAACGCAUCGCAAGAUGAGUGGCAGACGGGUGAGUAACGCGUGGGAACAUACCCUUUUCUACGGAAUAGCUCUGGGAAACUGGAAUUAAUACCGUAUACGCCCUACGGGGGAAAGAUUUAUCGGGGAAGGAUUGGCCCGCGUUGGAUUAGCUAGUUGGUGGGGUAAAGGCCUACCAAGGCGACGAUCCAUAGCUGGUCUGAGAGGAUGAUCAGCCACAUUGGGACUGAGACACGGCCCAAACUCCUACGGGAGGCAGCAGUGGGGAAUAUUGGACAAUGGGCGCAAGCCUGAUCCAGCCAUGCCGCGUGAGUGAUGAAGGCCUUAGGGUUGUAAAGCUCUUUCACCGAUGAAGAUAAUGACGGUAGUCGGAGAAGAAGCCCCGGCUAACUUCGUGCCAGCCGCCGCGGUAA